Molecule: unclassified non-coding RNA, 235 nt
Filed under: plant metagenome
Description: partial contains small subunit ribosomal RNA and internal transcribed spacer 1
Rfam family: Eukaryotic small subunit ribosomal RNA (bases 1-46)
Source: RNAcentral
AAGUCGUAACAAGGUUUCCGUAGGUGAACCUGCGGAAGGAUCAUUAGAAAGUCUGUUUGCCGCGGAGACGCGCGUGAACCUACCUUCAAACCACUGUGAAACCACCCGUUGCUUCGCGGCACGCCUCCCCCACCCCCCCUCCGGGGGGCGGUCCGGCCGUCAGUCUGCAGAAGCCCAAAGCCAAAAACUUCUUUGUAACAGUCUGUCUGAAACUAUGAAUUAAAAUUCGUUAAAA